ACUGGUGUAGGAAUAAAGUUCAU
Molecule: non-coding RNA, 23 nt
Filed under: Cricetulus griseus (Chinese hamster)
Lineage: Eukaryota; Metazoa; Chordata; Mammalia; Rodentia; Cricetidae
Source: RNAcentral